UACAUCUCUCCUUUCGCUCAAACGGGGCAAUCGGCGUGAGGACGGGCUCGGGAAUGUAAUGCCCUUCCCCCCCUGGUCGGAAGUGACGUGCGGCGAGCGCUGGGAAGGCGGAAAUCGCGUGUAGAGCGUGGCGGCCGUGAUGAAGGUGCCACGAAGAUACACAAUGUCAUCUGACUCGGAGGAAGAAAAUGGAGUCAGGCAUGAGAAGGAUGACAGUGAUGGGGGCAACUAUGAUGGCAGAUCUAGAUCCCACUCUAGGUCAGCAUCUCCAGGAGAUCAAAGGUCAAAUCGGCAAAAUAUGUCCGACAGAGAGGACUCAGUGGAGGGAAGGGAGAAUGGGAUGAGAGGGGAGUCAGAUACAGAAGAAAACAGAGGCCAAAAAGAGUCCAGUCAUUCGAGGACUCCUGAGGAUAAGGAAAUGAUUGAGUGGAGUGGUGAGGCAGGAGAAAAGAGAUGCUCGCGCAGCAGGAGUGAUGAAGCUGAGGAUAAAGUGGCAUCUCGUAGUCGUAGUAAGAGUAAGCAGAGGGAAGUAGACACCAGUAAAGAAAGGAAAUCUAGUUCGUCGUCUUCUAAAAAGAAAUCUCGAUCCAGAAGAUCUCGCUCACGGUCAAGGAGCAAGAAGCGAUCUCACUCUCGAAGUAGAAGAUCUCGCUCUAGAAGUCGGAAGAAAUCCAGAUCGAGGUCCCGAUCCCGUGGAUCAAGACGACGAUCACGAUCUCGAUCAAGAAGGCGUUCAAGAUCUCGAUCUAGAAGUGGAACUCCGGUGGAUGGAGCUCGUCUUCAUGUAGCUGAGCUAGAUGUUGAUACACGCAAGAGGGACUUAGAGCGAGUGUUUGAGAAAUAUGGCAGACUGCGGGAGAUUUGGAUGGCUCGGAAUCCACCUUGCUUUGCGUUUGUGGUUUAUGCACAUCAGAAGGAUGCAGAUAGAGCACUUAAGGAAACUGAUGGAAUAAUGAUUGGCCACUGCCGCAUCAAGGUCACUCAAGCAAGGCCUCGUGUUCGUGGUGGACGCAUGAGAGGAGCUUAUGACCCAAAUCUGCGGUGUUACCAGUGUGGUGAACUAGGUCACUUUUCUAGAAAUUGCACAGACACCAAGUUUGGCUAUAAGCGACCCCCAACUCCACCAGGGAUGUGUUAUGGUUUGGUAUUGUGGUCAUGUGGUUGGGUUAUUGGUGCGGUGGGGAGAGGCGCCUCCAGAGUGCCUUGAGAAGCGUCAUGAUGGCACAGCUGCGGUGGCACGGCCGCGCUCACUUCAAACGAAAGUAUGUUUGGGAGCUGCCAGAUCUCGGAGACCUCCUCCUUUGUGGUUGUUGAUGAGAGUGUAGGAUGCAGAGUGUCCACGAGAAGAUAUUGCUUGUGAAAUUUAGUUCUGUUUGGGCCUGAGUUUCUGGAGG
This 1394-nucleotide unclassified non-coding RNA is filed under the name Penaeus monodon (black tiger shrimp). RNAcentral's name for it is "serine/arginine-rich splicing factor 4-like, transcript variant X8". The record is from RNAcentral. Lineage: Eukaryota; Metazoa; Arthropoda; Malacostraca; Decapoda; Penaeidae.